UUACGACCAUAUCAUAUGGCAACACCGGUUCUCGUCCGACCACCGAAGUUAAGCAACGUCGACACUGGUCAGUACCUAGAUGGAUAACCGCUUAAGAAUACCAGGUACUGUAA
Molecule: non-coding RNA, 113 nt
Organism: Acanthosepion pharaonis
Lineage: Eukaryota; Metazoa; Mollusca; Cephalopoda; Sepiida; Sepiidae
Source: the annotation of a GenBank genome assembly